RNAcentral lists this ribosomal RNA (819 nucleotides) under uncultured eukaryote. RNAcentral describes it as "SSU rRNA". It matches the Rfam family "Eukaryotic small subunit ribosomal RNA", at positions 629 to 1426 of the family's 1831-position model. The record is from RNAcentral.
CGGUGUUUAACUGGCGUGAUGUGGGACGUCCUACCGGUGGGCUUAACCUCGCGAGGGGCGGCCCAACUAAUAUCCCGUCGCGGUGCUCUUUACUGAGUGUCGAGUCGGGCCGGUACGUUUACUUUGAACAAAUUAGAGUGCUUAAAGCAGGCUAUCCUCGCCUGAAUACUGCGUGCAUGGAAUAAUGGAAUAGGACCUCGGUUCUAUUUUGUUGGUUUUCGGAACCCCGAGGUAAUGAUUAAUAGGGACAGAUGGGGGCAUUCGUAUUGCGACGUUAGAGGUGAAAUUCUUGGAUCGUCGCAAGACGGACAGAAGCGAAAGCAUUUGCCAAAAAUGUUUUCAUUAAUCAAGAACGAAAGUUAGAGGUUCGAAGGCGAUCAGAUACCGCCCUAGUUCUAACCAUAAACGAUGCCAGCUAGCGAUCCGCCGAAGUUCCUCCGAUGACUCGGCGGGCAGCUUCCGGGAAACCAAAGCUUUUGGGUUCCGGGGGAAGUAUGGUUGCAAAGCUGAAACUUAAAGGAAUUGACGGAAGGGCACCACCAGGAGUGGAGCCUGCGGCUUAAUUUGACUCAACACGGGAAACCUCACCAGGCCCAGACACCGGAAGGAUUGACAGAUUGAUAGCUCUUUCUUGAUUCGGUGGGUGGUGGUGCAUGGCCGUUCUUAGUUGGUGGAGCGAUUUGUCUGGUUAAUUCCGAUAACGAACGAGACUCUAGCCUGCUAAAUAGGCGUACCUUAUGGUAUCGCGAAGGCCCCCGGCUUCGGCCGGUGGGUUUUUACUACCAACGUACAAACAAAUCUUCUUAGAGGGACAGGCGG